This 408-nucleotide ribosomal RNA is filed under the name uncultured bacterium. RNAcentral's name for it is "partial 16S ribosomal RNA". It matches the Rfam family "Bacterial small subunit ribosomal RNA", at positions 28 to 526 of the family's 1533-position model. The record is from RNAcentral.
GACGAACGCUGGCGGCGUGCUUAACACAUGCAAGUCGAACGAAGUGGCGAACGGGUGAGUAACGCGUAAUCAACCUGCCCUUCAGUGGGGGACAACAGUUGGAAACGACUGCUAAUACCGCAUACUGAAGGAGGGGAUUGCGUCUGAUUACUGGGUUGGAGGGGUAACGGCCCACCAGGGCGAUGAUCAGUAGCCGGUUUGAGGGGAUGAACGGCCACAGUGGGACUGAGACACGGCCCAGACUCCUACGGGAGGCAGCAGGGGGGAAUCUUCCGGAAUGGACGAAAGUCUGACGGAGCAACGCCGCGGUAGUGAUGACGGCCUUCGGGUUGGAAAGCUCUGUUAAUCGGGACGCGGUACCGGAAUAGAAAGCCACGGCUAACUACGUGCCAGCCGCCGCGGUAAUUC